UUUUUUGUUUUCAAUGUAAACUAUUCUGACAUGUAUAAGGUGAUAUGUCAUUGUAGUUCCGAUUUGCCUUUCCCUGA
Long non-coding RNA from Mustela erminea (ermine), 77 nucleotides. RefSeq lists it as uncharacterized. The transcript has 3 exons. The record is from RefSeq and is a predicted model, not a curated record. NCBI's taxonomy places the organism in Eukaryota, Metazoa, Chordata, Mammalia, Carnivora, Mustelidae.